RNAcentral lists this ribosomal RNA (624 nucleotides) under Monosporozyma servazzii. Its description in RNAcentral is "Kazachstania servazzii partial 26S ribosomal RNA". It matches the Rfam family "Eukaryotic large subunit ribosomal RNA", at positions 65 to 664 of the family's 3401-position model. The record is from RNAcentral. Lineage: Eukaryota; Fungi; Ascomycota; Saccharomycetes; Saccharomycetales; Saccharomycetaceae.
CCAACCGGGAUUGCCUUAGUAACGGCGAGUGAAGCGGCAAAAGCUCAAAUUUGAAAUCUAGUACCUUCGGUGCUCGAGUUGUAAUUUGUAGAGGGAUACUUUGGGGCCGUUCCUUUGUCUAUGUUCCUUGGAACAGGACGUCAUAGAGGGUGAGAAUCCCGUGUGGCGAGGAGUGCGGUUCUAUGUAAAGUGCCUUCGAAGAGUCGAGUUGUUUGGGAAUGCAGCUCUAAGUGGGUGGUAAAUUCCAUCUAAAGCUAAAUAUUGGCGAGAGACCGAUAGCGAACAAGUACAGUGAUGGAAAGAUGAAAAGAACUUUGAAAAGAGAGUGAAAAAGUACGUGAAAUUGUUGAAAGGGAAGGGCAUUUGAUCAGACAUGGUGUUUUGCGCCCUCCGCUCCUUGUGGGUGGGGGACUCUCGCAGCUCACUGGGCCAACAUCAGUUUUGGUGGUCGGACAAAUCCGUAGGAAUGUAGCUUACCUCGGUAAGUGUUAUAGCCUGCGGGAAUACGGCCAGCCGGGACUGAGGACUGCGACUUUUGUCAAGGAUGUUGGCAUAAUGGUUAUAUGCCGCCCGUCUUGAAACAAGGAACCAAAAAAGCAAAAAAACGCGCGGGGAGGCGGCGGG